Mycena vitilis is the source of this 97-nucleotide non-coding RNA. NCBI's taxonomy places the organism in Eukaryota, Fungi, Basidiomycota, Agaricomycetes, Agaricales, Mycenaceae. The record is from the annotation of a GenBank genome assembly.
UGCCCCUUGGCCCAGUUGGUGAAGGCGCACGACUGUUAUGUAUGACGAACUUCAUGGCUUAAUCGUGAGAUCGCAAGUUCGAACCUUGCAGGGGCAG